Clarias gariepinus (North African catfish) is the source of this 271-nucleotide long non-coding RNA. RefSeq lists it as uncharacterized. The transcript has 3 exons. NCBI's taxonomy places the organism in Eukaryota, Metazoa, Chordata, Actinopteri, Siluriformes, Clariidae. The record is from RefSeq and is a predicted model, not a curated record.
CUGAAAGCGAAUUCUUCCCAUCAGCAACAACAACAAAUUAGGCUGAGUGAACUACUUACCGCAGCAACCAGGUCUGCGAGGGUUGUACCUUGGUCGAUAAUGGUGAGGACCUCACUUCUGUUCAACAACAGGAGCUGACCAAAAAGACAUCUAUCAAGCUCUUGAGACCUGUUGACAAACUAUCAAAGUUACUAAGGACGAUAGGAAUCUUCUUUGGCACACUUAAACGAGAGUAUUGUGUGGAGAUGAAAAAAGAGACUUAUCAGCACAU